CUCAGGUGAUCUGCCCGCCUAUGGUCUCCCAAAGUGCUGGGAUUACAGAUGUGAGCCACUGCGCCCGGCCUAAAGAGAUUUCUUGAAGCAAUUGAGCUUAUAGUUUGGGUUGGAGUGAAGAGGAGAGUCCCAGAGGAAAUUACUACAAGGGAAUUAGCAUGUGUGGAGUGAAGCAGUGAUUCCCAAACCAGAGAAUCUGAGUCAGGUGUUGAAACUGUUGAGUGGAAA
This 228-nucleotide long non-coding RNA is filed under the name Pan troglodytes (chimpanzee). Its description in RNAcentral is "long non-coding RNA NONPTRT009209". The record is from RNAcentral. Lineage: Eukaryota; Metazoa; Chordata; Mammalia; Primates; Hominidae.